Molecule: unclassified non-coding RNA, 202 nt
Filed under: uncultured Scleroderma
Lineage: Eukaryota; Fungi; Basidiomycota; Agaricomycetes; Boletales; Sclerodermataceae
Description: sequence contains ITS2
Source: RNAcentral
AAAUCUCGAACCGAAGCCUUCGAUCCGUUCGAAGCUCGGUCUCGGAACGUGGGGGUCUGCGGGCGGCGACGUCGGCUCCCCUCAAACGCAUCAGCUGUGGGCACGAGCCCUGCGUGGCACGGCCUCCCCGACGUCGUAACGAUCGUCGUGGGCUGGAAGCGCAGUGAUCGGCGAUCCCAUGCUUUCCAACCUUUUUCUCGAA